Molecule: long non-coding RNA, 2595 nt
Organism: Columba livia (rock pigeon)
Lineage: Eukaryota; Metazoa; Chordata; Aves; Columbiformes; Columbidae
Exons: 2
Source: RefSeq, a predicted model, not a curated record
GUCAAACUAACCAGCCAAGUAAAAGGCAUUUUGUAUAUUAAAAAAAAAAUAAUCAGACUUUCCCUCUCCAUUCUGUGGAUGCUGAUUGUUCUCUGAGCUGUCAGCUAGAAAACUUGGCAUUGUAGGUAGCUGUGCAAAGAGAAAACAUUUAAAUAAGAUCAGUCUACUUAGUUAAGAGAGAAGCAGCUAAAACCAAAAUUCCAUUGUGCCAAACCAUAGCUACGUACUGUCUUAUUAACAGUAGAAAAAAAUGCUCACAUUACUGUUAUGAAAAUGGUUAAGAGCAUGUUAGGCUAAGAUUUCAGUGCAUCACAGAGCCAAGGGGAUGAUCCCUGUAACGUAAGGUCAUCUUCGAAGGUGAGAUGACAGGUGUACAGAGAGGAAUCGAGGAGCAAUGGGAAAUGGGGCAAAACAGCAAAGUUUCUGACCCCAAUUGAGAUGAUGGCAAAGCAAGACCAUGAAUGUUAAAUUUAAAAUAGUUCUGUUAUGUUUAACACAGAAGAGAGGCACAGUGAUCAGUGAUUCGAUCAAAGUAGAGCUAAGAAAAUUAUCUUUGUGUUGGCACUCUGUGUGAAUGUAUACUGAGGGCAGUAUUCUCCAGUGAGAGUGUUUUGAAGUAUCCCAGUUUCUGAUACAGCUUCAGUCUGUACAGUCCUGGGUCAUCAGACGCACUGGUUAGAAGAUCUGAAUGGCCAAACCAAACCUUUCCUCUCAGGCCCAUUUCUUAGGCUGAUACACAUUUGUCUGUGCUCCUGUGCAUGAUCCAGCAAUUGUAAUGUAGGUGAAGUGUCCAUUAACUUGCAUUUGUGUUUUACCUGAAGAACGAUUGGGCCUUGAAUUUUCAUUCCUCGAAGCAGCCAACAGAACAUUUUAUUUGUUUCUCCUGCCAGGCCUGUUGUCAUUGCAGGAGAUUUCCCCCUCUACCCAUUGUGUUUAUCUUGCCAGUAGUAGCUUUUAAUUAUUACCCUGCUGAUCUGCAGAGUUGAUCGGAGGAUGCCAAAUGAUGAAGUGAAUGGAAAAAGUCAUGGCUUGUGAAGGCCUUGUAAAACUUCUAGCCAUUCUCAAACCUCAAAAUCAGAAGAAAACAUUAUGGCUCAGAUUAUCCUUUUUGAAACCUUACAGCACUUGGGAAAUAAAUUACAGGAAAUACUAAAAUGAAAAAGUAGCUUUUAGGCAGUGUUGUAACCUUAUGUUUAAUUUCAACACUUUUUAUGGUCCUAACUUUUAAAUUAUUCUUUUCCUUUCAUGUGAACAAUUCAAAGAGCCAAACAAGAUGUGUAGAAUGUUUUCUUUUGCUGAACCUAAUUUUCUUCUAGAAAAGUUUUGGAGUUCUACAUAAGAAAAUGUUUAAUGAGUGCUACAUGCUUUUCAAGAAUUUUUAGGAGAACACAAGUCUUGUUCUAAACCAAAUGAUGAUCAGUUGGACUGAAUUUCAGAGAUAAUUACAAAAUUCUCAGUACAGAUUUAUAAAUGCCUUUUAAUUGGCAUAGCUUUGUCAUUUCUUCCUUGUGUUGAUACGUAACUCAAAUUUGGUGUCAUGAGAUAAAGCUUAAAAGAAAAUAAUGAAUUUUAGCUGUAGCGCUGAUUUAGAUCUGUAGCUGGUAUUGCGGUAUUGAUUUAAUGGUGCUCCUGGAAGGAAAAAUAAAUUAUUGCCAGUGAAUAAUCUGUAACUAUAGGGGAAAUAUUUAUGCCUUUAGGUAACAGAAUAGUGACCGUAUGUAUGUUAUAAUACUUAAUCUGUGUUGAUCUUUCAGCACAUGUAAUGUUCAGCCUUUGGAUGAGCAUUUUGUACUAAUAAUUACACACUUAGCUUCUCCUUGAUUUCCUCAUUGAAAUGAUGAAAUAUUCAAAUAGUCAUGCUCCUUAUUAAACUGUAAUGAUCAGUGGCCGGGGUGUAGUGAAACAUGGAGAUUAAGAAAUGCUCAUUUUAACACCUUCCCUCAAAUUCUAGAUGCAUGUAUUUGGAGAGGGAAAAAAAGCAAACAAACAACAAACAAAACCCCAGCACAGUGGGCUGCUAACCAUAUGAAGCUUCAUUUUCAAAAGUCUCAGUAUAUGAGCGCUGACUAUUCCCUUUAAAAAUCAGGGUCAGUGUACCACCAAAGUCAUCAGUAAUAUCAUUUCAGUAACACUUCCAUGUUUGUAUAACUUAUGUUGGUAAAACAUGGCAAAUAAUCUGCAAAGUGUCACCAGAUAGAGCAACUUUGUCAUGUUUUUUAAAAUAUCAGCAGUGAUUUUACAGUAACUUCUCAUUUUAUUGGUUUUGUACACGUUUCUAGUUGCUUUGUUUUUCCACUCAUUUCAGGGUGUUGGAUAUAUUUCAUAAUAUUAAAGUAAUUCAAAAGUUUUCAUGAAUUAUAAGUGAUUUGUACUGCUAAACUGGUACAAACAACAACUAUAACUAGCUGCCAUAUUUUUACUUAUGUUAUAACAUGUUGGAAUAUUAAAGGAAAAAAUACUUUGAAGAGCACUUACAAAGGUUUUAAGUAGGGGAGCAUGCAUGUGGUAAAUUGUAGUAUUCUGUUUUGUGUAAUGCCUUUACAUAUUUUUCUCUUGUACAAUUGUAACAGAAUUAAAGCCACUAGCAUUACUUUA